This 99-nucleotide transfer RNA is filed under the name compost metagenome. RNAcentral describes it as "tRNA-Pro". The record is from RNAcentral.
GCGGGAGAUCGACGACGUGCUGCUGCGUCGCCCAGCGCUCGGAGUGCUCGCCGAGGAGGCGGUCGAGCUGCGCACGGCGUUCGACGCCGCCUCGCGUAC